AUUGAACGCUGGCGGCAGGCCUAACACAUGCAAGUCGAGCGGAUGAAGGGAGCUUGCUCCUGGUUCCAGCGGCGGACGGGUGAGUAAUGCCUAGGAAUCUGCCUGGUAGUGGGGGAUAACGUCCGGAAACGGGCGCUAAUACCGCAUACGUCCUGAGGGAGAUAGUGGGGGAUCUUCGGACCUCACGCUAUCAGAUGAGCCUAGGUCGGAUUAGCUAGUUGGUGGGGUAAAGGCCUACCAAGGCGACGAUCCGUAACUGGUCUGAGAGGAUGAUCAGUCACACUGGGAGUGAGACCCGCUCCAGAGGCAUACGGGAGGCAGCAGUGGGGAAUAUUGGACAAUGGGCGGAAACCUGAUCCAGCCAUGCCGCGUGUGUGAAGAAGGUCUUCGGGUGGUAAAGCACUUUAAGUUGGGAGGAAGGGCAGUAAGUUAGUACCUUGCUGUUUUGACGUUACCAGCAGAAUAAGCACCGGCUAACUUCGUG
Molecule: ribosomal RNA, 484 nt
Filed under: uncultured bacterium
Lineage: Bacteria
Description: partial 16S ribosomal RNA
Rfam family: Bacterial small subunit ribosomal RNA
Source: RNAcentral